GCGGAUGGCCGGGCGGCCGCGGCGCGCGGCUGGACCGCGCGGCGAGGAAAGUCCGGGCUCCACGAAGACGCGGCGCCGGAUAACGUCCGGCCGGGGAAACCCGAGGGAAAGCGCCACAGAGAACAGACCUCCGUUCCGGGUUCGUCCCGGGGCGGGAAGGGUGAAACGGUGGAGUAAGAGCCCACCGCGCCCCCGGCGACGGGGGCGGCACGGCAAGCCCCGCCGGGAGCAAGGUCAAGUUGCGAGGGAGGCGGCCUUCGGGCCGCCGAUGGGUCGUCUUCGCCCUCCCUCCGUGGUGGACCGCGAGAACGCCCGGGCGACCGGGCGUCCAGAUGAAUGGCCGCCCAGGGGCCGCAAGGCCCUGGACAGAACCCGGCUUACAGGCCAUCCGCACGC
Molecule: RNase P RNA, 396 nt
Filed under: Oceanicella actignis
Lineage: Bacteria; Pseudomonadati; Pseudomonadota; Alphaproteobacteria; Rhodobacterales; Paracoccaceae
Description: Bacterial RNase P class A
Rfam family: Bacterial RNase P class A
About the family: Ribonuclease P (RNase P) is a ubiquitous endoribonuclease, found in archaea, bacteria and eukarya as well as chloroplasts and mitochondria. Its best characterised activity is the generation of mature 5'-ends of tRNAs by cleaving the 5'-leader elements of precursor-tRNAs. Cellular RNase Ps are ribonucleoproteins.
Source: Rfam by way of RNAcentral